Molecule: ribosomal RNA, 158 nt
Filed under: uncultured Ophioparmaceae
Lineage: Eukaryota; Fungi; Ascomycota; Lecanoromycetes; Lecanorales
Description: 5.8S ribosomal RNA
Rfam family: 5.8S ribosomal RNA
About the family: 5.8S ribosomal RNA (5.8S rRNA) is a component of the large subunit of the eukaryotic ribosome.
Source: RNAcentral
AAACUUUCAACAACGGAUCUCUUGGUUCUGGCAUCGAUGAAGAACGCAGCGAAAUGCGAUAAGKAAUGUGAAUUGCAGAAUCCAGUGAAUCAUCGAAUCUUUGAACGCACAUUGCGCCCCUUGGUAUUCCGAGGGGCAUGCCUGUUCGAGCGUCAUUA